This 492-nucleotide ribosomal RNA is filed under the name uncultured bacterium. RNAcentral describes it as "partial 16S ribosomal RNA". It matches the Rfam family "Bacterial small subunit ribosomal RNA", at positions 29 to 507 of the family's 1533-position model. The record is from RNAcentral.
AGUGAACGCUGGCGGUAGGCCUAACACAUGCAAGUCGAACGGCAGCACAGUAAGAGCUUGCUCUUACGGGUGGCGAGUGGCGGACGGGUGAGGAAUACAUCGGAAUCUACUUUUUCGUGGGGGAUAACGUAGGGAAACUUACGCUAAUACCGCAUACGACCUACGGGUGAAAGCAGGGGAUCUUCGGACCUUGCGCGAUUGAAUGAGCCGAUGUCGGAUUAGCUAGUUGGCGGGGUAAAGGCCCACCAAGGCGACGAUCCGUAGCUGGUCUGAGAGGAUGAUCGGCCACCCUGGAACUGAGACCCGGUCCAGGCUCCUACGGGAGGCAGCAGUGGGGAAUAUUGGACAGUGGGCGCAAGCCUGAUCCAGCCAUACCGCGUGGGUGAAGAAGGCCUUCGGGUUGUAAAGCCCUUUUGUUGGGAAAGAAAAGCAGCAGGUUAAUACCCCGCUGUUCUGACGGUACCCAAAGAAUAAGCACCGGCUAACUUCGUG